AGUCUUUCAAAUAAAGCGGAGAUAACAUUA
RNAcentral lists this ribosomal RNA (30 nucleotides) under Colletotrichum falcatum. RNAcentral's name for it is "partial 18S ribosomal RNA". The record is from RNAcentral. Lineage: Eukaryota; Fungi; Ascomycota; Sordariomycetes; Glomerellales; Glomerellaceae.